AUAUUCACUGAGUGCAUAGUGUGUGCGCCAGGCCCUGUUCUGGGAGAUGACAGGCAAGGCCACUGACUUCGUGGAGCUCGCCCCCUAACGGUGAAGACAAACAGUGACUGACUAAGGAAAAAAAAAAAAGAACCCUGACGCUUGGCAUGGUCCAUGGCCCCCUCCACACAGCCAGUUGGCCAGGGAGCCGAGGCAGCCUGUAAACGCUCUGCCUGGAGCUGCUCGUAAACAAAAACAGAGUGAUCCACAAAAGGGCCCCAGAGUCUGGCACUGAAUGGAAUCCUACCUUCGGUCCAGCAACUGGAGAACGAAAGUCCACAUCCUGAUGACUGGUUCUGCACCUGGGGCUUAGAGCACAUAGCAAGGGGCUGAGAAGCAGCCACCACAUAAUCAGUGACUGCAAUUUCAUCACACAGUCCUCCAUGCCAGGCCCUGUGGGGAAACCAAGAUAUGUAAGGCAAGCCCUGCUCUUCGGAAUUUCUAAUCUCAGUACUGAAAAGUUAAUAACAUAAGGACGCAGCCUAUCUGUGGUAACACCAUGGCAUGAGCUGUGUGGAUUCCAAGUGCUGAAUGAAGCUGGAAGGGCAGAGGUCACAUCGGGCCAGUAUGUGCUUCUUGGAAGAGGUGGCAUUUGAGUCACUUGAAGAAUGAGCAGGAGAUGAGGGAUGGGAAGGAGAAGGCAUUCCUGGGAUGCCAUGAGCAAAGUGUCACAGUUUUGCAUUGAUCACUGUCAUCCAUGUAAGAGCAAGGACAGCUCAGGCAGGUGGUGGCCAUAGAAUGGAGGUGGACACAUAAAUAUGUGGAGAAAGAAGGAAGUCUUUGGGUUAAAAGGCCAAGACUUGACACCUGUGAGGACCUGGAAUCUAACCCUGUGUUUGUCUGUAAACCCAAGGCAAGUCACCCUUCUUCCGAGGCACAGUUUCUUCACCUGUAAAAUGAAGGGACUGGGCAAGACGGUUUCUAAAGUUCCUAGGGCCAGGUGCAGUGGCUCACGCCUAUCUUCACAAUACUUUGGGAGGCUGAUGCAGAAGGAUCACUGGAGCUCCCUCAAGACCAGCCUGGGGAACACAGGAAGAACCUUGUCUCUACAAAAAAUUAAAAAUAUUAGCUGGACAUGGUGGCAGGACCUGUGGUUCCAGCUACUCAGGAGGCUGAGUGGGGAGGAUAUUUUGAACCUGGGAGGUCGAGGCUGCAGUGAGCUGUGAUCACACCACUGCACUUCAGCCUGGGCAAUAAAUAAAUAAACAAGUAACAAAGUUCCUUACUACUUUAGAAUCAGGGUAGAAAGGAGUGAAGAUGACUUUAGGAUUUUGAAGAACAGGCCCAGCAGCAGGAGGUGAGGAGUCUGGAGAACAGCAGAUCUGGGGAGAGGCCUUCAGCUUUAGAUAAAAUGCGUGGACCCCUUCACGACUCUUCCUUCUGCUGGGGUCCUCCAGCGCUGCCACAGGCUGACCCGUUCUCAGACUUGCAUGGGACGUGUGUUGCCUCCCUACGUCUCUCCCUGAGAUGUGAGCCUGGCUACAUCAAGGCCAGAGCAAUGAGAGGCAGUGGCCCUUGCCCCAGCUUUUCCCCAAUGAGGAAGCACCAUCAUCACCAACACCAUCUUGCCACGAUAGCACUGGAGAGC
Molecule: long non-coding RNA, 1627 nt
Filed under: Homo sapiens (human)
Lineage: Eukaryota; Metazoa; Chordata; Mammalia; Primates; Hominidae
Description: non-protein coding lnc-ADAMTSL4-1:2
Source: RNAcentral